GUGGGGAAUAUUGGACAAUGGGCGCAAGCCUGAUCCAGCCAUGCCGCGUGAGUGAUGAAGGCCUUAGGGUUGUAAAGCUCUUUUGUCCGGGAAGAUAAUGACUGUACCGGAAGAAUAAGCCCCGGCUAACUUCGUGCCAGCAGCCGCGGUAAUACGGAGGGUGCGAGCGUUAUCCGGAUUUACUGGGGUUAAAGGGUGCGAAGGGGGUCUUAUAAGUCCGGGGUGAAAUACUACAGCUCAACUGUAGAACUGCCUUGGAUACUAUAGGACUUGAAUCGAGUAUAGGUCAGCGGAAUACAACAUGUAGCGGUGAAAUGCAUAGAUAUGUUGUGGAACACCGAUUGCGAAGGCAGCUGACUGGGCUUGAAUUGACGCUCAGGCACGAAAGCGUGGGUAGCGAACAGGAUUAGAUACCCGGGUAGUCC
RNAcentral lists this ribosomal RNA (425 nucleotides) under uncultured bacterium. RNAcentral describes it as "partial 16S ribosomal RNA". It matches the Rfam family "Bacterial small subunit ribosomal RNA", at positions 354 to 796 of the family's 1533-position model. The record is from RNAcentral.